Molecule: ribosomal RNA, 393 nt
Filed under: uncultured bacterium
Lineage: Bacteria
Description: partial 16S ribosomal RNA
Rfam family: Bacterial small subunit ribosomal RNA
Source: RNAcentral
AUACGGAGGAUCCGAGCGUUAUCCGGAUUUAUUGGGUUUAAAGGGUGCGCAGGCGGGAGAUUAAGUCGGCGGUGAAAUUUUUCAGCUCAACUGUAAAAGUGCCUUCGAAACUGGUUUUCUUGAGUGUAGGUGAAGGAGGCCGGAUUUGUGGGGGAGCGGGGAAAUGCAUAGAUAUCACGAGGAACUCCGAUUGCGCAGGCAGCUUACUAAACUACUACUGACGCUCAGGCACGAAGACGUGGGGAUCAAACAGGAUUAGAUACCCUGGUAGUCAACGCAGUAAACGAUGAUUACUAGCUGUUUGCGAUACAAUGUAAGCGGCUGAGCGAAAGCGUUAAGUAAUCCACCUGGGGAGUACGUUCGCAAGAAUGAAACUCAAAGGAAUUGACGGGG